Molecule: unclassified non-coding RNA, 217 nt
Filed under: Hevea brasiliensis (rubber tree)
Lineage: Eukaryota; Viridiplantae; Streptophyta; Magnoliopsida; Malpighiales; Euphorbiaceae
Source: RNAcentral
CGUUAAGAAGUGAAAAUGACGCCGAUUCUGAUUCCUUGAGCACAGCAGACAAAUGGUCUGCAUCUGCUUGUGAAGAAGGAUCCAAAGAACAGCGUGCUAGAUCCUCACUGAAGUUUUCAUCAGCGAAAACUGUUGGGAUUGGAUACAUUUAUUCAUCCUCAGAAGAUGAGGAUGUCUGUCCAACCUGCCUUGAAGAAUAUACACCAGAGAACCCCAA